UGCUUUCCCCUCCAGCCAGGACUCUUCACGACCUGAUGGCAGAGCUUGUUAGCAUAUAGGUGGUUUAACCGCUCCCAGCUGAGCCCUCAGCCCCAGACAACCACAGCCAUUGUCAUGGAUCAGAGAGAUCUCAGCCACAGACCUUGUGCUCCUGACUCAUGGGCUUCCCAGAGAGACCGCAGGUUGGCUGCCAACACCCUGAAGACAGCAAGGCUGCCCAGUCCCCCAACGCCUGCCAAGGACAGAUUCUACCUGCAACGUGGACCCAGAGAGUCAUUCUCGAACAAAGGAACCCCAGAGGCCUGAACUUACUCAGAAUUGACUUCUGCGUCCUUCUAUUAUUGGGACUGACAUUUGAAGUCCCCGGCCGGGUCUCCCUGUCAUUUGCCAUCGCCUUUGAAGUGCUUAACAGCCGAGAGGUUGAAGCCAUACAAUUUUGCUAUUUAGAGGAUUCAGCUUAAGGUAACGGUCAAGUUGCAUAAUUCAAGAUGAAAGGGUUUGGGGCUUCCCUGGCGGUACAGCAUUUAAGAAUCCACCUGCCAGUGAAGAGGAAAUGAUUUUGAUCCCUGGCCCGGGAAGAUUCCACCUACCACCCAGCAACUAAGCCAGUGCGGAACAACCACUGAUUCUGAUGCUGCAGCUACUGGAGCCUGCGUGCCUACAGUGUGGUCUGCAGCAAGAGAAGCCACCACAAGAGAAGCCCGUGCUCGGCAAUGAGGAGUACCCUCUGCUCACUGCAACUAGAGAGAGCCUGCCUGUAGCAGUGAAGACCCAGUGCAACCAAAAAGAAAUAAACAAGUUUUUAAAAAAGAAAAACCAAAGCCUUAUGUCAUGAGACUUUUUCUGUUUUCUUCACUCACCUCC
This 864-nucleotide long non-coding RNA is filed under the name Bos grunniens (domestic yak). RNAcentral describes it as "lncRNA (ENSBGRG00000022139.1)". Lineage: Eukaryota; Metazoa; Chordata; Mammalia; Artiodactyla; Bovidae. The record is from RNAcentral.